UGGACUUGCAUGAGGAGAAUGAUUGUGUGGAUAUACAUACAGAAAUAACAAAUAUGUCCCGCUGCGUUAUGUGGCCUGUAAACAGGUAAUAACAACCUCGGCCCUCGACUUCAUGCACGGCAGCUUACGUUGUAGUAGCGCUGCAUGGUAGCGACAAUGCCGCCGCCAUCAUACCACCAUUGCCGUACAGUGUUCGCGUUCAGGGCGGGGAGCACACCGCAAGACGUGCUCUUGAAAACAAACGUCAGUGAGCUGAUGUUUUGCGGCUGCCCAUUCACGACGAACAGAUCCUGGACAAUCAUCCGGCAGGGUGUGGGGCAACACCAGAUUAGCCUCAAAUCUCACAGCGCAACA
Molecule: long non-coding RNA, 354 nt
Filed under: Volvox carteri
Lineage: Eukaryota; Viridiplantae; Chlorophyta; Chlorophyceae; Chlamydomonadales; Volvocaceae
Description: long non-coding RNA (VCAR_LNC002314)
Source: RNAcentral